Molecule: ribosomal RNA, 261 nt
Filed under: uncultured bacterium
Lineage: Bacteria
Description: partial 16S ribosomal RNA
Rfam family: Bacterial small subunit ribosomal RNA
Source: RNAcentral
UACGGGGGGUGCGAGCGUUAAUCGGAAUUACUGGGCGUAAAGCGUGCGUAGGCGGCCUGCCAAGCCAGGUGUGAAAGCCCCGGGCUCAACCUGGGAACGGCACUUGGAACUGGCAAGCUAGAGUUGGGUAGAGGGGAGUGGAAUUUCAGGUGUAGCGGUGAAAUGCGUAGAUAUCUGAAGGAACACGAGUGGCGAAGGCGGCUCCCUGGACCCAAACUGACGCUGAGGUACGAAAGCGUGGGUAGCAAACAGGAUUAGAUA